Molecule: long non-coding RNA, 3816 nt
Organism: Heterocephalus glaber (naked mole-rat)
Lineage: Eukaryota; Metazoa; Chordata; Mammalia; Rodentia; Bathyergidae
Source: Ensembl
UCAUUCUCCCUGCCCUUAGAACAGGAGCUCGGGGCGAGCUUCUGCCGGAGCCCCUGGGUUUCGGGCCCAAGCGUCCGUCUUCCACUGAAGGGCAAGGACUGCACCUACAGUGUGCCAGGAGGUGCUCAGCGUUUGAGGGAAUCAAAACGUGGUGCCGCCUACAAGUUGAACAGAAGGGAAGACAGUGAAUUUGGGAAGAAGGAGGCAUAGUAUGGGGUCAGGUGUCUGCCAUAGUAGCUUAAGGACAUUCCCGCGGCUGUAAAGGAAAUCCAGUUGGAGUGGUGCACGUGGAGCGAGGGAACACGCACAGGGGCACAAGGGUGGCACGUUGAAAGAAAAGUAGCUUCGCAAGGACAAACCUGUUGGGUUCAUCGGAAGCCAGGGCAAGCUGCAGAUACAAAGUCAUGUUCCCCGUGAAGAUGCAUCUAUCCCAGAGUUGAAAAGCAUCUGGAAUCAGAAUCCUCCGAAGAGCUGGUUUUGAAGAAUAAUACUGUCUCCUUUUCCUGACUAUUUGGAUGGCAGCUGUGCCUGCCUUGGAGUUGGCUUGCCUGCAGCUCAGCCCAAGGUCUCUUGUCCUCACUGGUCAGUCAGCUUUCAGAUUGGCACUGAUCUCAGGUGUUCUCUUCUCUGUGCCACAUGGGGGUAAAUAUCCCUUUCACGGAGCCCAGUGAGGAUCACAGGCAAGUGUCCAACCAGUGGUUCUCAGAAAACACGACUGCCAUCAUGAGGAGACAUGGUGGAAAGCAAAGCCUUACGAUGGGUAACACACGUGUGGAACGCAAGCAUGUUGAACCAGGCUGAGGACAUGCUCUUCCCUAAGAAGACUUCUCUGAAUUCCUCCCUCUCAUUCAUACAUCCUUCUCCCGCUACAACAUUUAUAGAACUCAGACAGUCGUCAUUCAGUGCCUGACACGUGCAAGGUUCUUUUUGGAAUGCAGGGGACAGAGACAUUCUACACUGAUGGAGCCCAGAGUCAUGGAAUCUUCCGGUCUACAAAGCUUAUUAACUGCUGAUCGAUCACUAUAGCAACUGAAAUGAAAUAGGAAGCAAGAAGGCAGGGCAAUAUAACCAACUCAAAUAAGAGUUAAAAAUAAGCAAUUCUGAGCACUAGCCUUCAGGUGUUCCAAACCGUCGCACUGGGCUGGGGACAGAGAUGGACAAGGCCGGGCUGGGCUUCAUGCAGUUGUCAAAGCUGGAGACUGUAGAAUCCUAGAACUGAAAGGCAGUUUGUGUCCCAUCUCAUGUCCACUUUUAGCCUUUAAGAAAGUGAAAGAGUACACGCUUUAGAAAUGAGGAAUGCAUGGUGUCUUACUAAUGAUGUCUGGGGACACAGUAUCUGCUGUGCCUCUCUUGGUCAGGUCCAUGCGUCUCUCUUUCUGUGAAGUCUCUUGCCUCACUUAAGUCCAUAUUCUCCUACUGUGUCCACCCAUCAGACAGACCACUUGCCUGACGCACUGUUUCCCAAGCUGACUGUGACACUGCCAGGAGGAGCCAGAGCCUGCUGCAAUGGUACAAAUGGCCGUGACUUACUCAUGCCCCGACUCAGCUCUUCCGUUAGCACUGGUCUCUGAAGGCUGCCAGUAGAAAGCCCCUGUAGUAACACAGCCAAGCCAACUGCUCCCGUGCAUCUGAGCCCUUGAUGAAGGCCCCUCCUCUUCCCUAGAGGGAGGGAAGAAUUGUUGGUUUUCUCUUUCAAUUAUUUUUCCAGUCUAUUAAAUUGUCACAAUCCCUGUGUCUCAGUGAGAGGCGAUGUCAUUUUUGCUCAUCUCCUGGAGACCAGGAACAGUGAUGCCAGAGGACAUAAUUUUUGUGUCUCUGUCACCACCGUUGGAGAAAAGAAGAUGACAACAGAAAAGCGCAAAGGCAGUAGAUAUCUUGGAGAGGGUUAUGAGACACGCAACGAGCAUAACUAUGAUGUUUAUGCCAUCGGGUUAUAUGAAAUAUACAUUUGUAAUCCACUAAGCAGUUUAUCUUUUCAUGCAUCUUAGUUUUCCAGGAUAAUUACCUUCAUGACUGUCCCAUCCCAUGUUCCAGGCAAAGUGUGUGCAAAAUACACAGAUCUGUGUGCCCUGUUUGAAAACACGGCAGAGGAUGGGGGAUUAACUCAAAUUUUAGAAAAACAUGCUGUAGACAAUGAAUUCAGGAUAUGGGCUGAAAGUUUCUUUUAUGUUGUUAGCAAAACUGUUAAACUGUUUUGUCUUUGAACAACAGCAGCAGCUAAUUGAGCCUUCAUCCUGUGUUAGGUACUAUAGCAAGUUCUUUUCAAGGACCCCGGAAGUUUAGAGAGGUUGAAUAACUCACCCACAGAUGUGCAGCAGGCUGAGAGUCAACCUUGAGUCUUAGCUCAGAUCUCCUUUCUUGAUAGGAAACUUCUGCAGUUUUAUCCAAGACCUGCCCCUUCUCCAGUACCUGAGACCCUUCCCUCUUGCCUAAGAAGCAUGCAAGUCCAGUAGUUCUUCCCAUCUGUCCUGAAACAUUCAUUUCCUUUUGUCUGUUAGGUAUUUUCCCUUAGCAGGGACAAUGCUGCUGUUUCACUCAUCUUGAAGAACCUCUCACUGUCUCCAGUCCUUCUCCCUGCUGCCCUCUGAUUCUCUGCAGGACCCACCCUGAUUAGGUUCUCACCCACCAUCUUGAAUGUUAUUCUUCUCACAAUCACUUUCUGCAGUGCAGCAUAGCAGAUGAUAUAGAUACUCCCUUUCUCUUGAAAUAUUGCCUACCCUUGGCUGAUAUAAAUAACCCUUCUUCAUUGUCCACUUUGUCACAUUAUCCCUGUAUGGUUUAUUGUCUUCUUGACAUCUUCUUUCUGAUGAAGCAAUACACAGUUUACUUCUCUAUUUCUCUUUUCUAUCUGCACUCAUUUUUUAUGACAUUAACGUAUUUCUUUGGACUGCCAAUAGUUUUAUCAGACACAUACAUCAAACGGAUCUAGUAUACCCUUCCCUUCUCGGCCAUAUCUGACCCGUCUAUAAUUGUCCACAUCUCAGUUGAUGGCAACUCUGUCCUUUCACUUGGUUAAGACAAAUCCAUAAAGUCAUUUUUGGUUCUCCUGUUUCUCCCAUAUUUGACAUCUAAUCUUCCAAAAAAUCAUAUCGGCUCCAUUUUCAGCAUAUAGCUAGACACUUGCUACUAUGCACCACCUCUCCUGAUCCCGGCCUAAUCCCUGUCAGCAUCAUAUCUUGCCCGGGUUGUUACAGUUGCCUCCUACAGGCCAGUCUGCUUCUAUGCUCGUUUUUUACAUCCUAGGUUCAAAAUAUCAGUGAUACUUUAAAUUUGCCAAUCAAAUGAUGUCAACAGCUCUGUUUAAAACACUGUAGCGACUGUCCAUCUAACUCAGAAACACAAACUCCUUAUGAAGAUGGAUAAAGCCCUCCAUGAUGUGUACCAUUUUCCUCCACAACUCUGAACUUACCUCUCACCCACUCUGUUUGGGACACAGCAGCCCUCUCGCUAGGCCUUUUGGCUGUUCUCUCUGCUUGGAAUCCUCAUUGUCCACAUACACAUAUUGUUUACUCCCAUUUCCUCCAGAUUUCUCCACAUAUGUCUCUUUGCCUAACUACUUCAUUUACAAUUCAACCAUCCCUCACAUAUUCAUGCGCUACUCAGUCUCCUUCUGUACACUGUUUGCUCCACAUCGUAUAUUGUCCUUUAACAUACUCUAAAAUUUUAUUGUGUAUUUUGUUUAAAAUCUGCUCCCUCCACUAGGAUACAUAUUCCUUGGAAAGAGGACUGUUUUCUUUACUGAUGCAUCAUGGGACUUAUGUAGUGCUGAGUACUUUGGCUAAAGAGACUGGUUCUCAAAUGAAUGAAUAAACCAAU